This is a long non-coding RNA of Neofelis nebulosa (Clouded leopard), 505 nucleotides long. RefSeq lists it as uncharacterized. The record is from RefSeq and is a predicted model, not a curated record. NCBI's taxonomy places the organism in Eukaryota, Metazoa, Chordata, Mammalia, Carnivora, Felidae. The transcript is spliced from 3 exons.
UGUUCCUAUCCCUAAAAUGAUGCUUUGCUGCUUCUGGAUCACUUUAUUAUAGUCAAAGCAGGCUAUGACCUAUGGCUUAUCCAGGGUGAAGGCAUAUCAACAGCUGAACAUAGCUGAUAAGACACCGGGAUUCCAGAGAAGGGAGCCAGUGCGUGUUGGGAAGAGACAGAUCACAGCAAGCAGGACACUGGAGAAUGCUUCCCAUGGAGGUUCCUGUCUGUAUGGAUGCCUGGAAGUGGUUAAUAGAUGCCAAGAUGCAAGAGUCCUUCUUCACAUCUUUGUGGAACAAUCCACUAUUUCACAAUGAGCUGUUUCCCUCUAAUGGGUUUGUUCUUUGCGGGAUACCCAAGAGAAUAGCGACACCGUCAAUUACAACAGGAAAAUCCAUCUCCUCUCUCCCCAGUGCACUUGGCCCUGUGAUGCCACAGGUGACGACUCUGAAGACCAUGCUUCCCUUGACAAGAUUUCUAGAUACAGAAGCCAUUUUUCCCUCCACCAACCUAGG